Long non-coding RNA from Oncorhynchus masou masou (cherry salmon), 2724 nucleotides. RefSeq lists it as uncharacterized. The record is from RefSeq and is a predicted model, not a curated record. The transcript is spliced from 2 exons. Lineage: Eukaryota; Metazoa; Chordata; Actinopteri; Salmoniformes; Salmonidae.
AUAGUUCAAGGGGGCCGAAUACUUACGCAAGGCACUGUAAUACAUUUUUCGUUGCAAAACAUUUUUUUAUGUUUUCCUUUGCUUGCCCCAAUGAACACGGACCAGAUGUUUUGUAAUGUUGAGUAAGCUGGGUUCUGUUUCUGCUUCAGUCAACUUGUCAUUGUCUUACUGUUGUUGGCAAUGCAACAGUGUAGCAUGGUGUUAAAUAAAGAAACAGUCAGGUACUCUGGCUUGUGUUCCUUAGGCACCAAACAGAAGAAAACAGACAAACAGGGAGGGACUACCCUAGAAACACUUGUUUUCAUUUUCCGAUGCAAACUAUUUUGCUCUCAUGAAUACGACCCAGGCUGAAAUCAUUUCUUCCUUGUAUGAGGUAGUCUACAACAGGGAUCUCCAAAGAGUUAACACGACUCACGUCUGCUGCAAUGAGAAAAAGAGGAUCUUGGAACUUAACUUAAUACUGUUUAUGUAUUUAGAGUAUCCUAUUUAUGUAUUUGCAUAAUCCUAUUUAGUAUUUAUCAGUCAGAGUUAUGUAUUUAAUUUUCACCAAGAUUAUUAUUAUUGAAGUGAGCCUUGAAAGUUUGAACAGUAACUGAAAAAAAAAAUAAUGUUAUUUCUUCAAAGAUUGAUUUAUUGUGGCAGGCUGUGUGUGUACAUGUUUUUGUGUGUGUGCUGGUCUUUGUGUGUGUGUGUAUAUGUGUGUGUCCUAGCUAUGCUUGGUCCAUGGGAAUAGCCUCAGCCUUCAGUUGUUUAGCAACAGAGUCCAUGUUGUCCCUCAGUCCCAGUAAACACUAUGGACACCAGUUCAUCUGAGGUGCUCCACCUUCCCUGUGGCCGACAUGGUUGCUGUAUGGACAGUGGAGAGGACAUGGACGUCUCGUUUGUCAUGCCACAUUACUGCCAGCUGUUGACCGUUCUCCUUGAACUCCACCUCCCCUCUCUGCAUCUUCCUGCAUCCAAAUGCCGGCAUCCACUUCCUGUUCGACCUGACUGCGCAACAGGCCACUGUGCUGUUGGAGAGCAGAUGCUGGAAGAGUGUGGGACUGCUGUACCAAUUGUCCACAUACAAAGUGUGUGACAUCGCAGCAGAACUAGGAAGCGGUCUUGGGAAAAGAGGGUGGCAAAGAAGGGAGAUGCAAAAAUAGGAUCUGUGCUCCAGUAUUCUCCUAGGGAGUUAUGCUUUACUAUCAUGAGAACGACUGUCACCAAGAAGGUAUACAUUUUCACUAAUUGUAGUUAUCACCCAUUUAGCAAGUUCCCCCCCCCCCCGAUCGGUCUCUACUCUGUCUACCACCAGCUCCUCUGUCAGAAACAUCUUGAAGCACUUUGCCUCAGAUGGAAAUGGCAAGGGGCGUUGCACUCCAGACUGGGACUCAUUAAAGCAGACAGCAGGGCCAGGAGGGGUGAAAUGGCUGUCAGACUUCCAGCUACCACAUAACUCCUGUACUUCAUCCACUGUCUGUCUGCCUCCAUCACCACCAGCAUCUUCAAAGGGAACUGGGACUUCAUCAGUGGACAAGGGAUCCUCAGAUUCAGGGUUCUCAAUGGCUACAAGGUUGGGGGGGCAUCUUGUCACUGUCACUGUCAGAAUCUGCUUCCUGACUUUCAUACUCAAACUUAUUGUCAGAAAUUGAAAAAAAUAUCCAGAAUUUAUGAGUUGUCUCCUUUUGAAAGACAUUGCUAAUGUUACAGCUUAGCUUACUAGCUACCUACAUAAACAACAGUGAAAGAUUACGUGAUUGACUGCCGGCACGCGCCACUUGUAUCGAUAAAUCACUAUCAGAAAAUGUUUUGUGUGGUAAUUAUUUAUAUAUUUACUGUUUUAUUCACAUGUUUUCAAGUGCCAGUCACAAAUCAUGCAUUCCAAUUAAUGUAUAGAUUGUAAUGGGCACAUAUUAUGUGUGUGAGUAAGGGUUCACUCAUUUUUUUGAGAACUUACGGAAGUGAAUGGUGGGAUGUGAAUGAUGGUAGAUGCAUACUUCAACAUGCAUACUAUAAACAGACCAAACUCAUCUUGUCAUCUCUCAUUAUCUUUGGUUUCUGUGAGAGAAAACAAGCAUGGCAGCGCGUGGAAACUACCCAUCGUAGGAUUACUUUCAAAUACUAGAGAGUGUUUUACUCAAUUAUUUCGAUCAAUUAUGAGCUCACCCAUGAUGUGAUUAAUUAUAAAUAGUAAUUGCUAUUAGCUAAUUCAUAUUGUAGUUUCUGUCAACCGAGAGUUACACAAAUAUAACCGUUUGUGUUACGUCAAUCUUUUCCUCAAUUAGCGCAAGGACAAAUGAACCCAACAUUUACCGGUUUGGAUGAGUGUUAUGCUGUAGAUACUACUGUGUAUGUCUGAACAGUGCAUCCAAAAAUAAACUGCUCACAUUCUGGACAUAACUUUGUAUGGCCUGUGUUUACGCUAAAUGUUUCUGAAAAAACAGUUUGGCCAGCUCAAAUGCAUUUUGUUGCAUCAAUCGAUACUGGCCAUUCUAAAUAAGUGUUCUCAAUAAGCGUUCUAAUCACACCGGUUUGAUCGUAUGCUACAGGGACCACUGUAGAAUGAUCACACCCAUGUGUUGGUACGUGUGAAAAGGUUAAAUCUCCAUCUUGUGUAACACGUGUUGGUCCGUUAGGGACCUGUUACCAUUUUAUAAGUUCUAACCAAUAACCUAGACUGUUUGUGUAUGUGUAUCUUAUAUUAUAUAAUUUAUCUUGAUAGUAAAUAAAUAAUCAACUCAA